Molecule: non-coding RNA, 659 nt
Organism: Fundulus heteroclitus (mummichog)
Lineage: Eukaryota; Metazoa; Chordata; Actinopteri; Cyprinodontiformes; Fundulidae
Source: the annotation of a RefSeq genome assembly
AAUUGAAAAAAUGUAUUCCAUCUAGUAAAGUUGUAAAUGUCUCUAUUUUCUCUUCUUGUAUUCCAAUAAGAUCCUGAAUGGUUUAAAUGGCUAAACUAUUUGUGCUGAUGUUGUGUCUGUGUUUGUCUUCAGCGUGCUGAGAGCAGAGCAAUCAUUUCCAUAGAGAGGAGGCUUUGCAUGGUCAGCUGAUCCUCCAGGGAACUGAGAAGGUUUAUAGUCCUGUGAGUUCAACACUGCAGGACUCAGACCUGUCAGUGGAGCCAGCAGAAACAACCAGCACCAUGACCCUCAUCACCAUCCUCAUCUGGACGCUGACCUGCUGCUGUUUUACAGGAUGCAGCGCUCAGGUGACUGUGACUCAGCCUCCACUGGUGACAUUUACACCAGGAUCCACUGCCACCAUCAAGUGUACCACAAAUCCUGCUGUUUACCGCUGGUCUGGUGGUGAGGAGGGUAUGUUCUGGUAUCAGCAGAAACCAGGACAGCCUCCAAAGAGCCUUAUAUAUUAUGUACAUAAACUUCAGUCAGGAACACCAGCUCGGUUUAGUGGCAGUGGAAGUGGGACUGACUUCACUUUGACCAUCAGUGGAGUUCAGGCUGAAGAUGCAGCAGUUUACUACUGUAAGAGUUACCAUAGCGGCGGCGUGUUCACACAGUGA